Cyprinus carpio carpio is the source of this 8945-nucleotide long non-coding RNA. The record is from Ensembl. NCBI's taxonomy places the organism in Eukaryota, Metazoa, Chordata, Actinopteri, Cypriniformes, Cyprinidae.
AAUAACUUGGCCUUAAGUACUGCCUUGUCCAGCGUAUCCUCCAAUCACCAACCGCUGUCCCUAACUAGGCACAGGUGCAUCGAAUUCCCUGAUUUUCCUUCUUACGGCGCUACCGGAAGUUCCGGUGUUCUGUUUUUCCGGUCCGGGCGGAAACACUUCCGGGCGGAACCAAACUUCCCGAAUUUUGGUUCCGCCCCUAAAGAUCGUCACCUUGUGACAUAAGCAAAUUAUUAUAAUUUUUUUUUUUAACUGAAAGUUGAAAUUUAUUAUAGACUGGGGCAAGUUAUCCCCAUUGUCACAGAAGGGCAGUGUAUAUUUAUAAUUUUAAGGAAAAAUUUUAGAACUUUUUUUUUCUUUUUCUUUAGUUGUUGCCAAACUAUAAAUUAUAGAUCUAUAAAUUGACUACAUAAAACCCCUUCCAAAUAUUCACUUGAGUAAACAUGGUGUAUAUUUCAUGCGUGCAUUCCAUACAUUUUAGUUUGUUUCAGAACUUUUUCUCUUGCUUUUGAAAAGCGACUUCUUGAUCAGCAUGCUCUAAUAGUUUAAUUGAAUGAAUGUGGGACACAGAGGACUUUGCAACAUUCUAUAAAUAUGAGCAGAAUUCUUUUAUCGGUAGCACUUCUUUGGUUAUAUGCUGCUCUGAUGGUUUUUAAGUGCAUUCAUGCAGUGACAUCCAUAAAAAUAAAUGUCCAGUGGUGGUUGAAAUGAUGACAUACUAUUCUUGUCCAAGUGCAAAGUGAUGGUGACUGCCAGCAGUUCUUUCUCUUCCUUCAGAUCAUGCUAGAAUAAAUAGAUGCAACAUAAUGGCCAGCAGCACCAUCAGGCACUGUAGUGCACUGUAAUUUUAUGCCCAAAGUGGGUUGAUGGUUACAUGUUUCAGUGAGACAAUGAGAUGAAACUGAUUAUAGUAGAACUGCCUUCCAUAUGAAAGGUUAGCUUUCCUUCAGUCUGUCAUUCUCAGCACCACUCAUGUUGUCGGUGAAAUGUUGUAGCACUUUUAUUUAGAGUGUUACAGGGCUUGUUUACUGACCAAAUGGAAACAGUAUCGACCCAUUUGACAUUUUGUUCUGACAGUCACUUUCUCUAAGCCAGUAAAAAGUAUCUCGUGCCACUAUGUCCUGUUCGUCAGACCUCUAUGACGGAAUACGGAACUCUUGUUAAAAUUUAAUUUAAGCCACUUUAUUCUUAUUCAUGAUCAGUAAAUAAAGAGUUCAGCAGAGAACCUUUACUACUAAUGUUUAGACCUUCAGUUGCCCCAUAACACUUUUUAUGUUCACUUUAAGUUCCAUUAUUAGUGAUUUUUGAUUGGUUCAUCCGUCACAUUUUGCUCUGCACUCUUGGAAGUCUAUCAUUAUUUUAAAGAAGUAGUUCCCAAAAAUGAAGAUUUUGUCAUUAAUUGCUCACCGUUAUGUUGCUCCAGACCUAUAUGCUGGUAUUUUUUCUUCUGUCAUAUAAUAGCUUUGUCUGGAUUUCAGUCGUUCCUCACACAAAGCCUGUGGCUACAGAAGACUUGGAAUAAAGCACGAGUCAUACGGACUUCUUUCAUGAUGUUUUUUGUCUCAUGGAGCUGAAUGACACACAAGUCGACGCUCAUAUAUGACAGAAAAUAUGUGUUUACUUUUCACAGCCAUCUUUCAGUGUUAACUGGAAAUUAUGAGCAUGAUGAACACUGAAGCUCACUGGCUGUGAUGAAUGCAAACAACAAAUAGCCUAGAUAACGUAGCUUGACUCGUAUCAACAUCAGCCAGAUGGCAGGUACAGAAACGUUACUCCUUCAUUUGAAGUAUUGAUCCUUCAUUCUUUUCCACAAGAGUUGCAUCAUUCCUCUUAGUUUCUGUGAAAUGGGUUGAAUGAAGCACAGAAACGAAGUUAUGAAUUCUGAUUUGCAAAUGAAUAUUGUUAGGUUACUAAAGGCUUUAUUUUUUAUUCUAAACCUGCAAUAUAAUUCAGUAGUUAUUAUUAAUUUAAAAAUAGAUCAGACUAGCUAUUAUUAGCUUUUAUUGUAUAGUAUCUCCUAUCUAUUUUUUUUAUUAUUAUUAUAAUUGUUAUGAUCUUUUUCCCUUAAAUUUUUAGAAUUGUCCCCCACCCAGAUAUUUUACUUUCCCCUCUAUGAAUCAUUUAUGGAAGCCUGGACAAUUCUACUUGCCUCUUUUUGAGAACUUAUAAAUACAGUUAAUAAAUCUGCUAUUAAUUUGUAUAAUUUGAUUGUUUAAGCCCCCCCCCCCCCCCCUUUAUCUUUUUUUUUUUUUAAGCAGGGCCACCAUCAAAUAUUGACAAAUCUAAAAAGUAAGUCUCUUAUGGGCAUUGUUUGUUUGUUUGUUAAUUGGAAAGCUAUGAGAAUUUAGGACUUAAUGUCUUUGUUUGAUAAAAAUGUAAAUAUUACAGACUCUACAUCUUUGGUGUUUUGGUCAAUUUCCCUUUUUAUGGUUAAUAAAAUGAGCGUUUUAUUUAUACUUAUCUGUUUAUGCUGAUGUAUUCAUUUCAUAUCUCUAAAGAAAGUAAUGAGUUACACAAAGAACUAUGAUUACUAUCUUCCAUUUGAUGCCUGAUUCAAAAUGCAUAAUUGCAAUUUUUCGUUAAUUAAAAAACAACUAAAGCAUUUCACAAAGCUUUAAGGCAGCCAAGCUUAAUUUUUAGCUAGCUGGGCUCCCAGGGCAUUACGGUUACAUGACUUCAAUCAUUACUAAUCAGCAAAACAAUUAAUAAUUGUCUUGUGAUGGUGGUUCAGAUUGGAGCACAGGAUUGGGAAAUCUAAUGCAGUGCAAUAAAAUGUUUGGCUCGGCUUACUUUGGAAAACUGGAUCUGUCUGUAUGUCUCCAGGUUUGAGUGAGUAAACUGUAGCCAGUGGCCAUUAUGCUGUCUCAUAAACCGUCCCUUGCCACUCUUUCUCAUUAUCCUCUCUGCCCUGUCCACACUCUCAUAGCUUGGAGGCUUGUGGUUAAGCCUGUUCUGAUAUGGAGCCACUGGCAAACAGUCAAGAGAAAACUUUCAAAAUGUUACUUUUUAAACAUCCCACGGGGCGAACCAACCAAAAUAAAAAUUCUAGGUGGACAGACAUACAGUAUACGGUUUUCUUGAGCCAUUCGCCAUUGAGAUGUACAGUAUAUACAGUUUUCUUGAGCCAUUCUAUAGCUUUGCAUGAACAACAUACUGGAAUUUAAGAUUUUUCAUGUUUUCACUGGCAUUUUGAUGAGAAGCAACAAUUUGUGAGUGUUUUUCAUUGAUUUUUUUUUUCAUGCAUUGAAAUUAGUGUCCAUCUUACAGUACCUGUUUUGACUUGCAGAAUAAUUAUUUAUUUGUUUUAAAGUUCUUGGGGUUCUCUUAACAUUCAAAUCAAAUUUGUUUCAAACCUUAAAACUGCAAGAUAAAAUAAAUAAAUAAAUAAAUAAAUAAAUAAAAAACUGAAAAGAAGUCAAUAUUUUAUUUUGUGUGUAAGAUUCUAAUUUUAAAUUUCAUUUUCAUUUUCAACAACCUUUUUUUUAUAUUCUUGUCAUGGUUAAAAAAAGAAAGAAAGAAAAAGGAGUGGAUGCAAAAGUAUACAGACUGAGCUUGAAAGUUGCCCUAUUCUGCAUGGGAAGAAAAACAUGAACAACCCUGAUAAGUGCAAACUACAUGGAUGCUACAUGUGGAUGUUUGAAAGAAUUGCAAAAGUUAGCAAAACAGAUGUACAAAUUCAUCAUCACCUGAGCUUACAGCACUGCUUGAGCUUCAACCCCUAAAUCCUCUCCAGUAAAUAAUUGGAACAACAUGCUUGAAGAAAAAUAAAUGUUUAGUUUUUGCUCUUAUAAUCCAACCACAGACAUGUUGCUGGUGAAAGUAACAAAGCAGCUAUGUCCAAUCCAUUAAGUAAAUGCUUACAGGAUUGCAUAUGAUGUAUAGACAUUUUGUUAUUACAUGAAGCUUCGUCACAGUCUAAAAAAUAUUUAAACUUGACUUAAGUGCUUUCUACCAUGGCUGCAGGGACCAUGUCUUGAUGACUGAUACUAUUUAUUUAUUUAUUUUAAUUUAUCUAUUUAUUUAUUUAUUUUUUCAAUUUUUGUGUUAUUUAUUUAUUUUUUUUAUUUAUUUUGCAGAAAACGUGUAAUGUGAUUUCCACGAUGUCUCUUACAGAUUACAUGCUAUUUAUAUAGCUGUGAAAUGUGUUUGCUGUAGUCAAGUCUGCCAAUAAACCCUUGAACUGACAUUCAUUUAUUGCAUAUUUGCAGAAAACAAAACUAAACUAAAACUAAAAAGAAAGAAAGAAAUAAAAAGAAAGCAAUGAAAAAGCCAAUUUCAAAUAUUCAAUCAAUCAAAUAAAUAAACAAAUAAAUAGUUUUAAAAUGAAAAAUGCAUUAAAUUGUGUUUAUUUAUUGUGUAAUUUGAAAAGUAUAUCUGAUAAUUUAAUUUGUUAAUUAUGACAUCUAUUUUGUUCAUAAAUAUUUUUAAUGGAUUGUUUAUUGUUUUACUUUAUUUUUAGUUUUUAAUCUUUUACAUUUCAAAAUACUUGUUAAUGUCUAGAUGUACUUUAAGAAAAGGCAUACAGUACAUACAGUAUUAACUAUUUUGGUUACACUUUAUUUAAAUGUGUCAUUGUUACAGUGUAAUUACACAAAGGAGUACUGAGUAAUAUAUAAAAAACAACAAAUUGCAACAAAUUUGGCAGAGAGCUGUGCCAGAACACUGUAUUUUUUGCAGGAGAAGUGUAAUUUUGUAUGCCAACAAGUUUUCUUUUUUUUAAGUAUAGAACAUGACUGUUGACAUCUUUACAUUCAGUGAUUAAAUAUAACUGAAAUACACCUCAAUCUUGGAACAUUUGAAAGCCUUUCCUUCAGUGUAAAUCUAUAAUGACUUAGAUCGCACUCAUGACAUUUAAGUCACUCUAAUACUUCCCGAUAUAAGCUACUGUAAUUAUUGUUUUCAACCACGACCAUGACAAUCAGCUGCAAUUACAUAUGUCAGGGAUCACACCGAAGCGCUAACUCUAAACAGUUCAUCUAUCUCAAACCACAGUGACACUGCCAUCCAAAACAACAGACAAAUCACAGGAGCGACACAUCAUCACCACUCCGUAUCUAUGGCAACUGUUCAGCUGAAUGAGCAGUAGUGAUCCAGCCCGCUUUACAGAUUCUCAGUCGCCCCUCUCUCUGCAGAAGUCUUCCUAAUGGCUUUUUUAGAGAGAGAGAGAGAGAGAGAGAGAGAGAGAGAGAGAGAGAGAGAGAGAGAAUGACGCACUUCGAUUCUGAUCUGAGGCCAGUUGCGCGGUCAGAUUCUUAAUGAAUACUGCCAGUGUUUAGGCACAGGAAGCUGGUCAAGGAUCAGCACAAAGAGGCACUAAUGGCCAGUGUUAAAGCAGCUCUUAUUACAGCAAGAUUAAAGUCUGGUAAUAAAGUCAAGAAAUGAUCCUUAGCAUUCCGUAUUGGCUUUCUCUUAUGACUGCUAUCUCAUGUCUGAUUGGCUCUGAGAAGCACUUACUUCCACAGUCCGAGCAGGUGGCCAGCACUGGCACCAGCAACCUCUCAAAUGCAGCUGUGUCUCCAAGCAUGGAGAAAAAGCAUUGACUAAUUUAGUAUGAUGACAGAUAGGAGUUAAAGGGGUCAUAUGAUGCAAUUUCAAGUUUUCCUUUUUCUUCGGAGUGUUUCAAGCUCUUGGUGCAUAAAGAUGAUCUGUAAAGUUGCAAAAACUAAAGUCUCAAACCCAAAGAGAUAUUCUUUAUUAAAACUAAGACUCGUCCACACCCUCCUUAAACGCCUCGUUUAAAUGCCCCCACGUGUCUACGUCACGAUGUGGGAAGAUUUGCAUAACGCCGCCCAAAUGUUCACGCAAAGAAAGAAGGCGCAACUUUGAUUCUCGCUGUUGCCACCGACGUCAUGUCGUGAAGACGCUGUUUCGUUUUGAAAGUGAAAAUACUUUCUUUGGCCUUCUAAAAGAGGACACAACUAGAAAUCAGUGGUUAAGUUGUAUUUACAACACUGUUCCAGAACAUUUCAACCCAAAUAUUCAGAUGUGUGCAGCACAUUUUAUAGAGGACUGUUUCCUGAUCCUGGGAGAGAAGACUACAAUGCCAGCUGUUCUGACUCACAGCCUGUAAGUACGUUUACAUAUGUAAAGGAUUUGCCACUGAUGAUUCAAACGCGAGUUUUGAGUAGUGUAGAGUAGCGGUUCUCAAUUUCAGUCCUCGUGCCCCCCUGCUCUGCACAUUUUGUGUGUUUCUCUUAUGGCUUCAGACGUUUGUUCUAUUCGAAUGUAAGUGCCCUGUGAAGGGGACAUCACAGGAUAUUCUGCCAUGAUUCCAGCUCGAAGCGAACAUAUAUGUUCCUUUCAAAGUGCACGGAAGUGUGUAAGACAUGAAUUUAAAUUGUAUUUGUUUACAGAGGUUUAUAAUGUCACACUUGUCCGUGUGUGAAGACGCUUCGCAGCGCAAAUCCAUGAAUGAAUGUUCCGAAGUGAAGUAAACUUCAACAGCUUUCCCCUGCUCAGGGAGUAGGGAGAAAUGAACUCUGUGUAGGGACCAAGUCAAUUGGAACACAUUUCAUGCACGGAGCUCUCUUCUAAAGAGCUGAUUAAAGAGCUCGGAGGUGGGGGGGGGGGGGGGUGGCUGGAUGCAGACAAAUGCAGGUUUUACAAUGCAUAAUAACACACAGGGGCGGACUGGCCAUCUGUGUGAGCUGGAGAAUCACAGAACGGCCGGUACUCCAGGACGGCCGGCGGGCCGGCCCACCACCCGCCACGUACGCAGUCAUCACCUGUUUUUUUUCCCCCCACUACUCUGUUUCACACUCCAGUACUGUAGGUGGCAGCAAUGAAACUUUAAGUUGGAUGCCAGCUGCACUGGCCGUGGCCGCCAAGUUAGGAGAAGAAGAAGUGGAAGAGUAGGAAGAAACCAACAGCAAAGACGUUAGAUAGCAGAAGCACAGAAACAAACAAACAAUAUGCAUAACGUGGCCGCAGGUAAAAAACAGAAAGAAAAGGGUGGGGCUGAGAAGGCGAGAGAAAAAAAAUUGCGGAAUUUAGAUUCUGAAGCCGCUAAAUGUCGCAAACUAACUGAAAUAUUUAGCAGCACAGCCAGCAGCAUCACCUCGCAGUAAAAUAUUAGCAGCAGUGAAGAAGUGAGCAGACAGCUAUGCAGCAACAUGCCACCAGUGAUGAUGAUGAGGGACAGAAAGAUGAGGUAGUUCCACAGGCAGAUCCAGGGCAAGUAGGUAUGGAACAUGAGAGGAGAAAGAGAGUUACUUGCUAGGGAUGAUGUUAGGAAGUGAUAUUCAGGUUGCUACAUUUUUUAAUUAUUACAGUAGUUAAAACAGCUAAACUUCAACAUUUUAGCUGCAAAAUGCCACAUGCAGUAGCUAAUAUUAAGAAAUAUGUUGUGCUUGUACUUUAACAAAUGUUGGUAACGUUACAGUUAAUGCUUACAAACUUUGAAGAUUUUGAAUACAGAAGUUACAUUUGUAAUGGUGUAUUUUCAUUUAGAUGUGGUAUUAUUAUUUGUGCAGUAAGAUUAAUUACUGCAUAGAUUAAUUAAGAUUAUUAAGUAAUAAAUUAAUUUUAAGACAGCACGGAAUAGAUUGUAUAAUAUGCUGUUAUAACAGCAUAUUAUAUAAUCUGUUCCAUGCUAUCUUGAAAUAAAACCUUUUUUUUUUUUUAAUCCAUUCCAUCAUUUGUUUAUUCAGGUUGAGCUUAGACCAAGAGCAGAGAAAGACACCCACUCCAGCUCAACAUCUAGUCAACAUCAGUGCUAUUGCUAUAAUUUGGAUAGUAUAGUAUCAUGAGCAACAAUUAAAGUCUUGUGACACUCAUGCCAGGCGUUAUUGUUGUUGUUUUCGUGUUUCCGCGCACCGAUUGCCGGGCCUAGUAAAAGUCCAGGGCUGUUUUUAGUCCCAGUCCUUCCCUGAUAACACAGUAUAAAUCAUUAUAAUCCGUAAUGAUGUCCCCACUGGAUGCAACAAAUGCCUCGUUUGUAAUGAGUUUUAUUCGUUUCUUCUUGUCACGCCCCUGUUCGGACCGGGGGAUGCAUCACAGUAUGGCAAGGGGCGUAACAUUUCCGUUAAUGGCUUGAGGCAUUCAGCCAAUCACAACGCAGUGGAUAGCUUGCCAAUCAGAGCACACCUCGCUUUUCAGACCGAUGCAUUUCAGAAAGGCGGGGCAUUGAGGAGAAACAAUAAUGUACAGUAUGUGGAAAAUAAUGCGUUUUUUGAACCUUAAACUACAUAAACACAUUUCAUUACACCAAAUACACAAAAUAAUGUUCUUUUUAGCAAAAUCAUAUGACCCCUUUAAAAAGCUACAGUACUUAAGAUCUGACACUCUGGAGAGCCCCAUUGCUGGUACUGAUUGACAGAGAUGUUCAGAUUAACAUUAACAUGGCUAUGAUUGAGCAUUGCUUCUAGGUCUUAAUUUAUCAAGGCAUCCACCUGUGAUUUUUUUUUCUCCCUAUUUUAUAUAAUUGUAAAUGCAGGAGAACGCAAACAUUUCCUGAUUGCGUGCAGCUGAAGUGCAGACGGUUCCUCGUUUCUGAAUCAGCAAAUGUUUGCGUUGUGAUUUUGGGGUUAGAGGUGUAUGGGGAGCAGGGGUUCACAUCAGCUAUUUGUUUAAAUUUUUCUGUCCUAAUUAAAGACUGUCAGACUGUAAACUGUGCACAUUAUCAACCUUUCAAAGCCUACUGUAUCUUAUUUGAUAUGUAAAUUUAUGAGGCCUUUUAAGUAUUAACAUGAUCAAAACUUUGCUGUAAAAACUGGAGAGCUUUUUACACAUUUUGACAGUUUUUGGCUGCAUUUACAUGACAACAGCGUUUUUGGGGACUUUGAAUGCAAACUUUUGAAAAAAGUUUUUAAAAUACGGUACUACUAUCAUCUCUGUGUAAACUAUAAAAAUAUUAAUUUGUGAAAAUGGUGCAAAGUGUAGUGCGGAGUGGUGCAUAGUUUCUUUAAAAGUUGCUAUGUGGUAUGUAGUAUCUACUCAAUCUAUGUAGU